CCGUACAUGAAAACUAACCAUUGAUGAAAACGAGUAAGGCGGGACACGUGACAUCCUGUUUGAAUAUGGGGGGACCAUCCUCCAAGGCUAAAUACUCCUGACUGACCGAUAGUGAACCAGUACCGUGAGGGAAAGGCGAAAAGAACCCCUGUGAGGGGAGUGAAAUAGAACCUGAAACCGUAUACGUACAAGCAGUGGGAGCGGUUCUUGAGACCGUGACUGCGUACCUUUUGUAUAAUGGGUCAGCGACUUACAUUUUGUAGCGAGGUUAAGCGAAUAGCGGAGCCGUAGGGAAACCGAGUGUUAACUGCGCGUUUAGUUGCAAGGUGUAGACCCGAAACCCGGUGAUCUAGCCAUGGGCAGGUUGAAGGUUGAGUAACAUCAACUGGAGGACCGAACCGACUAAUGUUGAAAAAUUAGCGGAUGACUUGUGGCUGGGGGUGAAAGGCCAAUCAAACCGGGAGAUAUCUGGUUCUCCUCGAAAGCUAUUUAGGUAGCGCCUCGAGCGAAUACCAUUGGGGGUAGAGCACUGUUAAGGCUAGGGGGUCAUCCCGACUUACCAACCCUUUGCAAACUCCGAAUACCAAUGAGUACUACUCGGGAGACAGACGGCGGGUGCUAACGUCCGUCGUCAAAAGGGAAACAACCCAGACCGUCAGCUAAGGUCCCAAAGUACUAGCUAAGUGGGAAACGAUGUGGGAAGGCUUAGACAGCUAGGAUGUUGGCUUAGAAGCAGCCAUCAUUUAAAGAAAGCGUAAUAGCUCACUAGUCGAGUCGGCCUGCGCGGAAGAUGUAACGGGGCUAAGCUAGUCACCGAAGCUACGGGUGCACAGUUUACUGUGCGCGGUAGAGGAGCGUUCUGUAAGCCGUUGAAGGUGAAGGGGUAACCCACGCUGGAGGUAUCAGAAGUGCGAAUGCUGACAUGAGUAACGAUAAAGGGGGUGAAAAACCCCCUCGCCGAAAGACCAAGGGUUCCUGUCCAACGUUAAUCGGGGCAGGGUGAGUCGACCCCUAAGGUGAGGCCGAAAGGCGUAAUCGAUGGGAAACAGAUUAAUAUUUCUGUACUUCCGCUAACUGCGAUGGAGAGACGGAGAAGGCUAGGCUAGCGCGGCGUUGGUAG
This 1120-nucleotide ribosomal RNA is filed under the name Shewanella vaxholmensis. RNAcentral describes it as "partial 23S ribosomal RNA". It matches the Rfam family "Bacterial large subunit ribosomal RNA", at positions 373 to 1504 of the family's 2925-position model. The record is from RNAcentral. Lineage: Bacteria; Pseudomonadati; Pseudomonadota; Gammaproteobacteria; Alteromonadales; Shewanellaceae. RNAcentral also lists the same sequence under 2 other names.